This 485-nucleotide ribosomal RNA is filed under the name uncultured bacterium. Its description in RNAcentral is "partial 16S ribosomal RNA". It matches the Rfam family "Bacterial small subunit ribosomal RNA", at positions 28 to 523 of the family's 1533-position model. The record is from RNAcentral.
GACGAACGCUGGCGGCGUGCUUAACACAUGCAAGUCGAACGGAAAGGCCCUGCUUUUGUGGGGUGCUCGAGUGGCGAACGGGUGAGUAACACGUGAGUAACCUGCCCUUGACUUUGGGAUAACUUCAGGAAACUGGGGCUAAUACCGGAUAGGAGCUCCUGCUGCAUGGUGGGGGUUGGAAAGUUUCGGCGGUUGAGGGAUGGACUCGCGGCUUAUCAGCUUGUUGGUGGGGUAGUGGCUUACCAAGGCUUUGACGGGUAGCCGGCCGGAGGGGGUGACCGGACACAUUGGGACUGAGAUACGGCCCAGACUCCGACGGGAGGCAGCAGUGGGGAAUAUUGCACAAUGGGCGGAAGCCUGAUGCAGCAACGCCGCGUGCGGGAUGACGGCCUUCGGGUUGUAAACCGCUUUCGCCUGUGACGAAGCGUGAGUGACGGUAAUGGGUAAAGAAGCACCGGCUAACUACGUGCCAGCCGCCGCAGUAA